This 283-nucleotide long non-coding RNA is filed under the name Manihot esculenta (cassava). RNAcentral describes it as "long non-coding RNA (MESC_LNC010069)". The record is from RNAcentral. Lineage: Eukaryota; Viridiplantae; Streptophyta; Magnoliopsida; Malpighiales; Euphorbiaceae.
UCUCACACUCCAGUUGAAUCCUAUCUUCAACGAGUCUAGCAUCCUCGAGUAGGGCUGAGCAUCUGUGCUCCAAAGCCUGGACCUCAUGGCGGAGCUUUUGAUUGUGAAGUUUAGACUCCUCUGCAGCUGAGGCCAGAUCUCUAAUGCGAUCAGAACUCUUACUCAGCUCCUGCUCGAGAACCUCAACCCGAGCUAGCGCUCCCUCCUGCUGGACCUUCACCUUGUCAAGAUGAGCCUGAGCUCCUUCGAAAUCAGUCUUCAAGGCCUCGUACUGACGCUGGAC